This is a non-coding RNA of Salmo salar (Atlantic salmon), 58 nucleotides long. NCBI's taxonomy places the organism in Eukaryota, Metazoa, Chordata, Actinopteri, Salmoniformes, Salmonidae. The record is from Rfam.
UAGCUCAGUUGGUAGAGCAUGGUGUUUGCAACGCCAGGGUUGUGGGUUCGUUUCCCAC